ACGAACGCUGGCGGCGUGCUUAACACAUGCAAGUCGAACGGAAAGGCCCUGCUUUUGUGGGGUGCUCGAGUGGCGGACGGGUGAGUAACACGUGAGUAACCUGCCCUUGACUUUGGGAUAACUUCAGGAAACUGGGGCUAAUACCGGAUAGGAGCUCCUGCUGCAUGGUGGGGGUUGGAAAGUUUCGGCGGCUGGGGAUGGACUCGCGGCUUAUCAGCUUGUUGGUGGGGUAGUGGCUUACCAAGGCUUUGACGGGUAGCCGGCCUGAGAGGGUGACCGGCCACAUUGGGACUGAGAUACGGCCCAGACUCCUACGGGAGGCAGCAGUGGGGAAUAUUGCACAAUGGGCGGAAGCCUGAUGCAGCAACGCCGCGUGCGGGAUGACGGCCUUCGGGUUGUAAACCGCUUUCGCCUGUGACGAAGCGUGAGUGACGGUAAUGGGUAAAGAAGCACCGGCUAACUACGUG
RNAcentral lists this ribosomal RNA (467 nucleotides) under uncultured bacterium. RNAcentral's name for it is "partial 16S ribosomal RNA". It matches the Rfam family "Bacterial small subunit ribosomal RNA", at positions 29 to 507 of the family's 1533-position model. The record is from RNAcentral.